AAUCAACGCUGGCGGCGUGCCUAACACAUGCAAGUCGCACGAGAAAGGGACUUCGGUCCUGAGUACAGUGGCGCACGGGUGAGUAACACGUGAAUAAUCUACCUUCGAGUGGGGAAUAACUGAGAGAAAUCUUAGCUAAUACCGCAUAAUACCCACGGGUCAAAGCAGCAAUGCGCUUGAAGAGGAGUUCGCGGCAGAUUAGUUAGUUGGCAGGGUAAUGGCCACCAAGACGAUGAUCUGUAUCCGGCCUGAGAGGGCGCACGGA
Molecule: ribosomal RNA, 265 nt
Filed under: uncultured bacterium
Lineage: Bacteria
Description: partial 16S ribosomal RNA
Rfam family: Bacterial small subunit ribosomal RNA
Source: RNAcentral